This 364-nucleotide ribosomal RNA is filed under the name uncultured microorganism. Its description in RNAcentral is "partial 16S ribosomal RNA". It matches the Rfam family "Bacterial small subunit ribosomal RNA", at positions 1 to 366 of the family's 1533-position model. The record is from RNAcentral.
CGAUUAGAGUUUGAUCCUGGCUCAGAGNUGAACGCUGGCGGCGNUGCUUAACACAUGCAAGUCGAACGAGAACGGUCCUUCGGGAUGUCAGCUAAGUGGCGGACGGGUGAGUAAUGUAUAGUUAAUCUGCCCUUUAGAGGGGGAUAACAGUUGGAAACGACUGCUAAUACCCCAUACUCCUUUUACCUUAAUGGUAAUUGGGAAACGUUUUUUCGCUAAAGGAUGAGACUAUAUGGUAUCAGGUAGUUGGUGGGGUAAGAGCCUACCAAGCCAAUGACGCCUANCUGGUCUGANAGGAUGAUCANCCACNCUGGAACUGANACACGGUCCANACUCCUACNGNAGGCANCANUGGGNAAUAUUG